UUACUUACCUGGCAGAGGGGACACCAUGAUCGUGAAGGUGGUCUUCACAGAUGAGGCUCCCCCAUUGCACCCCAGGUGUGCUGAACCCUGAUUUCCCCAAAUGUGGGAAACUCCACUGCAUAAUUUAUGGUAUUGGGGAACUGCAUUUCAGCUCUCCCAUG
Small nuclear RNA from Talpa occidentalis (Iberian mole), 161 nucleotides. RefSeq annotates it as U1 spliceosomal RNA. The record is from RefSeq and is a predicted model, not a curated record. The transcript has a single exon. NCBI's taxonomy places the organism in Eukaryota, Metazoa, Chordata, Mammalia, Eulipotyphla, Talpidae.